AGUGGCAUUGAUUCAUUAACCUCUGCAAUGUUCAAGAUGGUAUAAUAAUUUGUAUUUGCAAAUAUACCACAUGGGGAAAUGGCUUUGAAAAAGGCAGGAAAGCCAGUAUAAAUAGGGACUCUGGAACAUCUUAAAGGGUAUCUUUGCGCUUGGGGCAAUGACGCAGCUAAUGAGGUACUAACCGAGGCGCGUCUAUUGCUGGUUGAAAACUAUUUCCAAACCCCCUCUUGGGCCGCGGCUUGUCUGCGGCCUUCGAGAAUUUCUGGAAGGGCUCCCUUCGGGGUAAAGCCCUACAAUCUCCCAGUUUAAAAUUCUUACGCAAUCGGUGCUUAACAACCAAAUUGCUCUGCUUUAGUAGCCGAGUUCUUGUAGUUCUUUGUAGUUUCCUGUUCCUUAACUGGACCAGCCCUAGUUCGCAGUCGCAAUCGCUCAGUCAAACCUUGCUGCUGCUUGAUUCUGUGUGUUCGAAAACUGCGAUUGGUAAAUUUACGACAUCCUGCUAUAAGUCUUCUGACUUAUGAGCUGUACAGCUGUACACUAUUUAGCUACUUCUUCUGGCAUACGAUACUGCAAGUUCAAAAUCGUUCAAGUCACGAGGGACAGUAGCAGUAAGCAGCAUUCUGCAACAUGUAAACCUUUCGAUAUGUCGAUGGAAAUUUGAUCGCUUACCGCGAACAAAACACUAUGGACUGAAUGUUGAUUCCUGUACCGAAUUUGUGAUCUUUCGAUACAAAAAAGCCAAGGUCUGUGACUGCUUUCUCCUGGACAUAGCAAGCUCAUGUUUGUGCACCUUCUUCAACCAGUAUCCGAAAAGGAUGGGAGAAAUGAAGAGUGUAUUUACCUGGAUUUGCUUGUUUUGCAAUCAUGGGAACAAGUGACCGAAGAGGUAGGUUAUGUACUUAAAGCCUUAAGGCCUUAAGUCGUUGCUCUUGGCCUUCAAAAUAGAGUAGUUGAAUACCACAUUACUAUAUACUGAAGAGGACAUCUAGUGAAGCUGAAAGCCACAGGAUAAAAACAAUGCUCAAUCAUUCAAGCAACUCGUACCUUUCUCGGCCUUUUGGCUAAAAUCCAGUGUAGUAUAGGUUCUUAUCAGUUUAUUUUUGUAAGAGGAGUUUCCCAUUACUAGUGCUUGCUCUAGGGGAUUCUCAUGUGUCUCUCAUGUGUUGCACGCUGC
This 1174-nucleotide long non-coding RNA is filed under the name Linum usitatissimum (flax). RNAcentral's name for it is "long non-coding RNA (LUSI_LNC006392)". The stretch from base 140 to 290 matches the Rfam family "U4 spliceosomal RNA". Lineage: Eukaryota; Viridiplantae; Streptophyta; Magnoliopsida; Malpighiales; Linaceae. The record is from RNAcentral.